This is a small nucleolar RNA of Vicia villosa (hairy vetch), 84 nucleotides long. RefSeq annotates it as small nucleolar RNA U30. The record is from RefSeq and is a predicted model, not a curated record. Lineage: Eukaryota; Viridiplantae; Streptophyta; Magnoliopsida; Fabales; Fabaceae. The transcript has a single exon.
UGUUUCUAUACAAAAAUUAUGUUAAUCUCGUUAAUCUGAUUAAUUAUGAGGAUAACUUUCAUAUCCAUUCAAUAAUGUCUGAGC